UAACUGCGUGCCAGAAGCGUCGGUAAGACGUGGGCCCCGAGCGUUAUCCGGUGUUACUGGGCGUAAAGAGUCGUGUAGGCGGUUCGAAAAGUUACCUUUUAAAUCGCAAUGCUCAACAUUGGAACUGGAGGUAAUACUCUCGAACUAGAGUUUUCUACAGGGUGAAUGGAACUGUGGGAGGAGUAGUGAAAUGCGUUGAUCCCCACGGGAACACCAGUGGCGAAGGCGGUUCACUGGUAGAAGACUGACGCUGAGACACGAAAGCUAGGGUAUCGAAGCAGAUUAGAGACCUGCGUAGUCCUAGCCGUAAACGCAUGCUUGCUAGCUGCAUUUCCGCCCCUUCGGGGGUUAGGUGUGGCGAAGGUAACCCGUUAAGCAAGCCGCCUGGGGAUUACGGUCGCAAGACUAAAACUCAAAGGAAUUGGCGGGGAGGCACACAACCAGUGGAACAUGUGGUUUAAUUCGAAACAAACCGAAGAACCUCACCUGGGUUUGACAUGUAGCUGCUCAUCCUAUGAAAGUAGGACUCCUUCGAGGGUGCUACACAGGUGCUGCAUGGCUGUCGUCAGUUCGUUCCGUGAGGAGUGCCCUUAAGUGGGACAACGAACGCAACCCCCAUCGUAUGUUAUAUCUGUCAUACGAAACUGCCUUGCCGUUGGCGAGGAGGAAGGAGGGGCAGACGUCAAGUCUGCAUGGUCCUUAUGCCCAGGGCUACACACAUGUUACAAUGAGAAGGAACAAUGAGCAUUGCGAACUCGCGAGGGUAAGCAAAUCUCAGAAAUCUUCUCUCAGUGGGGAUUGGAGUCUGCAAUUCGACUCCAUGAACGCGGAAUUGGUAGUAAUCGCGGGUCAGCUAUACCGCGGUGAAUACGUUCUUGCCUCUUGCACACACCGCCCGUCAAGCCAACAAAGUCGGGG
This 918-nucleotide ribosomal RNA is filed under the name uncultured organism. RNAcentral describes it as "bacterial SSU rRNA". It matches the Rfam family "Bacterial small subunit ribosomal RNA", at positions 498 to 1416 of the family's 1533-position model. The record is from RNAcentral.